UGGGGAAUAUUGGACAAUGGGCGGAAGCCUGAUCCAGCCAUGCCGCGUGUGUGAAGAAGGACUUUUGGUUGUAAAGCACUUUAAGCGAGGAGGAGGCUACUUGGAUUAAUACUCUAGGAUAGUGGACGUUACUCGCAGAAUAAGCACCGGCUAACUCUGUGCCAGCAGCCGCGGUAAUACAGAGGGUGCGAGCGUUAAUCGGAUUUACUGGGCGUAAAGCGUGCGUAGGCGGCUUCUUAAGUCGGAUGUGAAAUCCCUGAGCUUAACUUAGGAAUUGCAUUCGAUACUGGGAAGCUAGAGUAUGGGAGAGGAUGGUAGAAUUCCAGGUGUAGCGGUGAAAUGCGUAGAGAUCUGGAGGAAUACCGAUGGCGAAGGCAGCCAUCUGGCCUAAUACUGACGCUGAGGUACGAAAGCAUGGGGAGCAAACAGG
This 430-nucleotide ribosomal RNA is filed under the name bacterium. Its description in RNAcentral is "partial 16S ribosomal RNA". It matches the Rfam family "Bacterial small subunit ribosomal RNA", at positions 355 to 776 of the family's 1533-position model. The record is from RNAcentral.